RNAcentral lists this ribosomal RNA (429 nucleotides) under Bacillota bacterium. RNAcentral's name for it is "Firmicutes bacterium partial 16S ribosomal RNA". It matches the Rfam family "Bacterial small subunit ribosomal RNA", at positions 355 to 776 of the family's 1533-position model. The record is from RNAcentral. Lineage: Bacteria; Bacillati; Bacillota.
UGGGGAAUAUUGGACAAUGGGCGGAAGCCUGAUCCAGCCAUGCCGCGUGUGUGAAGAAGGCCUUUUGGUUGUAAAGCACUUUAAGCGAGGAGGAGGCUACUUGGAUUAAUACUCUAGGAUAGUGGACGUUACUCGCAGAAUAAGCACCGGCUAACUCUGUGCCAGCAGCCGCGGUAAUACAGAGGGUGCGAGCGUUAAUCGGAUUUACUGGGCGUAAAGCGUGCGUAGGCGGCUUCUUAAGUCGGAUGUGAAAUCCUGAGCUUAACUUAGGAAUUGCAUUCGAUACUGGGAAGCUAGAGUAUGGGAGAGGAUGGUAGAAUUCCAGGUGUAGCGGUGAAAUGCGUAGAGAUCUGGAGGAAUACCGAUGGCGAAGGCAGCCAUCUGGCCUAAUACUGACGCUGAGGUACGAAAGCAUGGGGAGCAAACAGG